This 504-nucleotide ribosomal RNA is filed under the name uncultured bacterium. RNAcentral's name for it is "partial 16S ribosomal RNA". It matches the Rfam family "Bacterial small subunit ribosomal RNA", at positions 30 to 523 of the family's 1533-position model. The record is from RNAcentral.
AUUGAACGCUGGCGGCAUGCCUAACACAUGCAAGUCGAGCGGUAACACAGGGAGCUUGCUCCUGGGUGACGAGCGGCGGACGGGUGAGUAAUGUCUGGGAAACUGCCUGAUGGAGGGGGAUAACUACUGGAAACGGUAGCUAAUACCGCAUAACGUCGCAAGACCAAAGAGGGGGACCUUCGGGCCUCUUGCCAUCAGAUGUGCCCAGAUGGGAUUGGCUAGUAGGUGGGGUAACGGCUCACCUAGGCGACGAUCCCUAGCUGGUCUGAGAGGAUGACCAGCCACACUGGAACUGAGACACGGUCCAGACUCCUACGGGAGGCAGCAGUGGGGAAUAUUGCACAAUGGGCGCAAGCCUGAUGCAGCCACGCCGCGUGUAUGAAGAAGGCCUUCGGGUUGUAAAGUACUUUCAGCGGGGAGGAAGGCGAUAAGGUUAAUAACCUUGUCGAUUGACGUUACCCGCAGAAGAAGCACCGGCUAACUCCGUGCCAGCCGCCGCAGUAA